RNAcentral lists this ribosomal RNA (426 nucleotides) under uncultured bacterium. RNAcentral describes it as "bacterial SSU rRNA". It matches the Rfam family "Bacterial small subunit ribosomal RNA", at positions 507 to 931 of the family's 1533-position model. The record is from RNAcentral.
GCCAGCAGCCGCGGUAAUACGUAGGUGGCAAGCGUUGUCCGGAAUUAUUGGGCGUAAAGCGCGCGCAGGCGGUUCUUUAAGUCUGAUGUGAAAGCCCACGGCUCAACCGUGGAGGGUCAUUGGAAACUGGAGAACUUGAGUACAGAAGAGGAAAGCGGAAUUCCACGUGUAGCGGUGAAAUGCGUAGAGAUGUGGAGGAACACCAGUGGCGAAGGCGGCUUUCUGGUCUGUAACUGACGCUGAGGCGCGAAGGCGUGGGGAGCAAACAGGAUUAGAUACCCUGGUAGUCCACGCCGUAAACGAUGAGUGCUAAGUGUUAGGGGGUUUCCGCCCCUUAGUGCUGCAGCUAACGCAUUAAGCACUCCGCCUGGGGAGUACGACCGCAAGGUUGAAACUCAAAGGAAUUGACGGGGGCCCGCACAAGAA